This is a non-coding RNA of Triticum urartu, 2417 nucleotides long. The record is from RefSeq and is a predicted model, not a curated record. NCBI's taxonomy places the organism in Eukaryota, Viridiplantae, Streptophyta, Magnoliopsida, Poales, Poaceae.
CCUCAGGCCAGGCAAGUCUGCGUUGAUCCGACGCUGACCUGACCUGAUUUCACCAAUCGGGGACCUUCUUUUCAAACGCCUUGGCUGAAUCGACCGCACCUGGGCGCCAGGGCCGCCGCCCGCCCCCGCCGAGCACCUCCGUCGCGCGGCACCUCGUCAAGUUUCGGCCGGGCAGGGCGCGUGCGCUGCCUCGCCGGCGACGACCGCCAUGGCGUUCACGCGCCUGGAGCUGCGAUGCCCCAGGGCGCUCGACCCCCGCCCGAGCUGGACCCUCGGCGAGGUCCUCACCGAGCUCGACGCACUCGAAGCCACCCGCCGCGCCGCGCCCCCCACGCCCCUCAAGCAGCAGCCGGAGUGGGCUAGCGGUGGCAGCGCAAGGAAGAAGGCCUUUGUGAUGCGGAUUGAGGAGGAAGACGACACGGACGAGGAAGACGAUAACGAUAAUGAGGAUGCCCGGGCUCUUGUGACCGGAGCCAGGUUCUCAUGUAAUGAUCUCGAAUGCAGCAGCUUUGAAGAAUCAGGGGAUGAAUUAGAUAGCGGUAGUACAUCAUACCACCUGAUGGAGAAAAGGAGCCUAGAGAAAAGCAUUCUGCUUGAGCUGGAACGCGAUCAUCAUCUCAAAAUUCAAGAGGAAGUUAGAAGUAAGUUAUCUUCGUUGGAGGUAUGCCACCAAAAUGAAAUCCAGAGAACAAUCUCUGCAUUUGCUCGACUUCAGAAAUAUGCAGAAUCACGAAAAGAGAUAGAUAGAAGGCUAGAUGUCCAAUUCCAGAGAAAAAUUGCAGAAGUACUCGAUAAACACUUAUCUAUGGUCCAAAGGGAUCAUGAACAGAAAUCCCAGAUUGUGGAACGUAGAAUAAGAGAUGAUGCAGCUGUUGAAGAAGCUAAACGAAGGGAGCAAUCUAUGAAGGAAGAAAAAAUAAAACAGGAAAGGGCCAGACAAGAAGCAGAGGCCAGGCAGAAGGCAACUGCAAAAUUAGCAGCUGACGCACAGAAAGCAGCAUAUGAAGCUGCUCAAAAGGAAGCUGUAGAAAAGGAAGCUGCUAAAUCGAGGGCAGAAGCAGUUUCCACAUCUAGCCAAAUUUCUCAGAAAAGUGUCGCCCAUGCAACAAUAAUGGCAAUCAGUACUGAAAUCAAAUCAGAAUUACCAGGAAUAAAAAUCUAUGCUGAUAGUUCUGCAUUAGAAGCGGAAUCACGGAGGCUCGCAUUACAUGACCAAGUGCCAUCAAACAUUUACCUCAGCAAGGAGUAUAGCCGAUAUGACCGACAAAUUGGAAAGUCUAUCAGUAAACUUAUGCCAACUACCGACAGUGUCAAGGCCAGGGCUAGUGAGCUUAUUAAAGCUUUAGAUGGACAGGAUUGUCCUCGUCCAAUCGCUUGUCGUUUAUUUGCAGACAAGAUGAUUUCAAUAGUCAAGAGUCGGAAUCCGACGGACAAAACCUUUGGAAAAUUGGCCUUUGCUUGUGGAUAUGUCAUGCUACUAGUUACCAAUCAGGUACCAGAUGCAAUGGAUUAUCUUCUGGCUGAGUUCAACAAAGUUUGCAUGUACACAGUUCCAAAGCAUCUCCAUGCUUUAAAUGCACAAGCACGAAACACAGAUUACUUCAGGCUUAUUGGCUACCAGGAAGAAGAUGGAAAACUUCAGAGCACUGAGAAGUAUUUGGUAAAUGUUGUUGCAUACGUCAAACUCUAUGCUGCCAUGAUUCAGAAAUCAAAGGUGUGCGGCAUCCACAUGGCUUAGCCGAGGGAUGGAAAUGGCUUGCAAUGUUCCUCAAUACUAUCCCGGCGAUCCCUGCCACUGCUUUUGCCCUUCAUGCUUUCCUCAAGGUCGCUGGUUUUGCGCUUCACAAGAAAUAUGGAUCACAGUUCAUGAAAAUUCUAGAUGUAAUAUCGCGGCACUUCAUACCAGCUUUGAAAGCACAAGGUUCGAAAGUUCAGCCAGAGGCUAUCAAUAAUCUACAGAAUUAUCUGAAUGACAAAAUUUAUCUGGAGGAGCCAGAAGGGCAGUACCUUGCCCAGCAGCUGCUAUCGAAAAUGUUCUUGUGAAAAUUAACAUCAGAUCGGCAUGGAGAGCUAUCAGCUAUGAUUAGCAGCAGUAGUUGCCAGUUGGUGCAUCUAUUUCGUCCGAGGGAGUAAGCUCCGUGGGUGUAACUUAUGGAGAAGCCUAAAAUUGUCUUGAAGAUUAUUUUGGAUGGACUUCCACCAUGUUACUCCCUCCAAUCCAAAUUACUUUUCGCUCAAAUGGAUGUAUCUAGCCUGAAAUAUGUCUAAGAUAUGGAUCGGAGGGAGUAGUAAAUUAGGAUAGAAGUGCCACUUGGUGGAGGUCAUGCGAUUUCUUGUGAUGUAUACUAUGGGAUGCAAACCUUAUGUCAGUUUGAAGUCAACGUUGUUCUGAAUAUAAUUCAUCUGCGUUGAUCAAA